RNAcentral lists this ribosomal RNA (863 nucleotides) under uncultured Neocallimastigales. RNAcentral's name for it is "partial large subunit ribosomal RNA". It matches the Rfam family "Eukaryotic large subunit ribosomal RNA", at positions 1 to 631 of the family's 3401-position model. Lineage: Eukaryota; Fungi; Neocallimastigomycota; Neocallimastigomycetes; Neocallimastigales. The record is from RNAcentral.
UAUGUGAUCGUCUCUCGCAUAUCAAUAAGCGGAGGAAAAGAGGGCUAUUACCUACGCUUAGGAUGUUGAAGAUAUGCGCGACACGGCUCUAUACAUGACUCUGUGCAUAUCAAUAAGCGGAGGAAAAGAAACUAACAAGGAUUCCCCUAGUAACGGCGAGUGAAGCGGGAAGAGCUCAAAUUUGAAAUCUUAAAGGGUUUCCCUUUACGAAUUGUAGUUUAAAGAAGUGUUUUCUGUUGAGGUUUUGGUAAAAGUUCUUUGGAAUAGGACAUCAUAGAGGGUGAGAAUCCCGUAUUUGACCUUUACUUUCAACUUUGUGAUACACUUUCAAAGAGUCGGAUUGUUUGGGAUAUGCAGUCCAAAAUGGGUGGUAAAUUUCAUCUAAAGCUAAAUAUUGGCGAGAGACCGAUAGCGAACAAGUACCGUGAGGGAAAGAUGAAAAGAACUUUGAAAAGAGAGUUAAACAGUACGUGAAAUUGUCAAAAGGGAAGCGUUUGACACCAGUGUUGUUUUUCUGAAAAUCAAUUAAAGAACUGUUUAUGCUAAGUUGUUUAGACUUUAUCAGCUAACUGUUUAGUUUUGAGCUUUUCUUUAAUGCACUUUUCAGUUAACAAGUCAACAUCAAUUUCUUUUGCUGUAAAAAAGCUUGAGGAAGGUGGCUUGAGAUUCGUCUUAAGUGUUUAUAGCCUCUUGCCUAUGCAGUCGGAGAGAUUGAGGUCUGCAGCGUAGAUCCUUCGGGGCUAAAUGCAUUUGUGCUAAGUUAUAGCAUUUUAUAGACAACUUGUUGACUAUGAUUUGUCUUGUAGCUUACUCGCUUAUGUUAUUUUACCUACGCUUAGGAUGUUGAUCUACAGAGCGAGAGU